This is a long non-coding RNA of Oncorhynchus tshawytscha (Chinook salmon), 894 nucleotides long. Lineage: Eukaryota; Metazoa; Chordata; Actinopteri; Salmoniformes; Salmonidae. The record is from Ensembl.
GUUUUCCAUUGGAACCGACAAGGUCCUGAAGGAAAGAGUCACAAUGCCAGCUCUCUCAGUGAAAGAGGAGAGAGGACAUCUCACUGGAUUUACACAACUCUUUCCAGACUCUCCAGUCUUCCUGAAGGAAACAGCUACAACAAACAAACAAUUAUGUGGAUUUAAAGGUACGAUAACCACUGAUCUCCUCUCUCAGAGACACUACACCUGAAAACUCUACAGAGGAACUGCUAUGCUACCGGAGGCUAACUGUGACUGACUCUGCCCUUCACCAUUCACACACAGAGGGAUUCUCAAGGAACCUGGCGAGAACGUUUAAAAACACACGAUCGGAUAGGUGACUUUUUUGUCAUUUUGGCUCCAAAUCCCUGAACUCCUAAUGAUGUAUGAAUCCCUAGGAGGAGUAAGACUGAAGCUCAUUCAAGUGCUCUCCUGCUCAAGGACCUGCCUCGAUCAUCACACAUCGUUUCCACAACAUUCCCAGAGUGCUUCUGUCACGUCAUAGCAACGUUUGCCCAUUUGUAAAAUGGUCCUUUAGCCAAAUACAGUGGCAAUUAUAUUUGUAUUUUGUAAUAAUAAAAAAUAACCCAGUGGGGGCUCUUCUCUCUGCUUGCUUGUACUACGGUUGUUUUACGAGAGCUCUUGUAAUGAUUUUACUCUCAUGUAGCCUAUGCCUCCCAAUCCGUCAUUUCAAAGCUAUUUUGAUCAAAUUCUUUCAACUCUGCACUGGACAUACCAAGGGGGUCUUGGGUCAAAACUAGUGCACUACAUUGUGAAUAAGAUGCACAAUAUAGUGAAUAGGUCGCCAUUUGAGACAACCAGAUAUACUAAUCUCCCUCCACUAGGUUCUCAGGAAUGGUCAAAGUUUUCCAUUCUAAAAUAACUUCUGUUGUC